This 1196-nucleotide long non-coding RNA is filed under the name Rattus norvegicus (Norway rat). RNAcentral's name for it is "long non-coding RNA NONRATT033403". Lineage: Eukaryota; Metazoa; Chordata; Mammalia; Rodentia; Muridae. The record is from RNAcentral.
AUGAAAAUCUACACUGAGAUCAAGGGCUUGAGCUUUAUUUCCUGCACAAAUAGAACAAAAAUUGUCUCCCGCUUAGGCGGUUGGAUGGAGUUCAGGAAAACUAUGUCUGGCAUUAAUUCCAAAGUGGAGGUUUUGGUUCAAGUGAGGCCCAUUAAUUUCAGUAAACUGUUUUCACUAGUCCAGACCCUGCUGUGGGAGCUCUAUUUAUUACCUUUUGCUAACCUGAUGUCUGCUGAGUUGCAAAGCAGAGGGAAGGGGGAAUCUGGGAUGGGGAUAUCUCUAUCUUGGAUCAAAUGGGUUUGCACCUUCCCGUUGGGGGUCAUGCUUAAUAGUGAGUUUUAUACCCCUCACUUUUCUUUAUCAGAGCCUUUACCAAAAAAAAGAAAAAAGAAAAAAGAAAAGAAAAGAAAAAAAGAAAAAGAAAAAAAUCCAUCUUGCGACGAAUUCCAGAAAAACAAAUCUGAUGGAGAGAAAUCUGGUUGAACUACUCAGCACAGGCAAGCCCAUACAUAGACCAUGGACCCAAUUCAAGGAAAGCAAUGAGGACUGCCCUGUACCAGUCUUGACCCAGGAACAGUGAAGACCUGGGAGGAGCUUCCUGCUCGGUGGGUGAGCACACUUUCUGGCUGCCCAAGCAGAAAAGUGCCUGCGGCCAUGGCUCUCCGAGUCUGGCUUGUGGAAAUCCCAAGAUCAUUGUAGACUGAUGGGAAGCUCCCUUUAAGGCCCAGGUUCACAGAUGAAGUAGAGGGCCAAGGGUAGGCACACCUGUGGUCUUCGUGGCCACACUGACCACCGCGACAGGUCCCGCCUACUCGAAACCUUUCUUCCUCUCAAGUUUCCUUGUUGGGGGUUUGAGAAUUUGUCACAACUGAAUCAGUGAAUAGCACCCUUGUCUGGCUCUUACACCCUCUUCCUCUAGGCCCGGUUCCCUGGACAGCUCAUUCCAAGCUUUUUUUUUUUUUUUUUUUUUUUGAAGUAAGGAAACACACCAGCUUUUGCUGAGAGCAGCGCUGGCCUCCCCCAAGCUCUGGCACGGUGGCAAGAAGUGGAUGCCUGCCGGGUGGCAGGAACUAGACUCGACUACCCCCUCUCCUGAGCCUUUUUUCCCCUCCCUGAUCUCCGCCCCUCCAGGAAGAAAACAGCCUGAGACCGGAUCGGUUUUUCGGCCACUGUGCCAACCCCAACCACUAUGCCCG